Molecule: small RNA, 595 nt
Filed under: Pan troglodytes (chimpanzee)
Lineage: Eukaryota; Metazoa; Chordata; Mammalia; Primates; Hominidae
Description: processed transcript
Source: RNAcentral
AGCCCCGCGCUCCGGAAGUGAAGCGGCCAGACCACCAGCUAAUGGAUGCGGAGCGGAGGGCCCGCUGACCGCUCUCCGCGCCUGGCUUGGCUUGGCUGGAGCUAAGAGCCAGACACACCACUGUGUGGAGGUGGGUGAUGUCUUCCUGUGCUAAAAGGUGAAUAAAUAAGCUCCUCACCUCUCGCGGAACACUCAGGAACACAUCAACAGGGGUCCAAGCCGCCCUGCUGGGAGGCUUCUCUUCAAGAGUUCUGGGUGCCAGAGUGGAAGGCAUUUUCCCAUCAACUGGAGAGAGACGAAACAUCAGAGACCAGGAGGCUGUGGAGAAAGCAGCUGUCCCAGGUGCCUCAACUAUCAGAGGAGGGUCAGCGUCACGUGGCUGCCAGCAUCUUUGAGAAAAUCACUGGCAAUCGGACUUCAGAGCUGCGGGCACAGGUGUGGUUAGAACUGAGAUACGACCUGCCCACCUGGGUCAGGCCUAAAGACAAGAAGUCCUGAGUUCUUGCCACUGAGUAGGCCAGGGUCAUUUGUCCAGAAAACUUUGUGACUGUCUUUGAGUGACCUAGUCUGGGACCCAUUCAUUGGUGGGUUCUAA